UGGUCAAUCUAGUGGCGAACGGGUGAGUAACACGUGGGUAACCUGCCCAUCAGAGGGGGAUAACAUUCGGAAACGGAUGCUAAAACCGCAUAGGUCCUUUAACCGCAUGGUUGAAGGAGGAAAAGAGGCGCAAGCUUCUGCUGAUGGAUGGACCCGCGGUGCAUUAGCUAGUUGGUGAGGUAACGGCUCACCAAGGCCGUGAUGCAUAGCCGACCUGAGAGGGUGAUCGGCCACAUUGGGACUGAGACACGGCCCAAACUCCUACGGGAGGCAGCAGUAGGGAAUCUUCCGCAAUGGACGCAAGUCUGACGGAGCAACGCCGCGUGAGUGAAGAAGGUUUUCGGAUCGUAAAACUCUGUUGUUAGAGAAGAACAAGUGCUAGAGUAACUGUUAGCGCCUUGACGGUAUCUAACCAGAAAGCCACGGCUAACUACGUGCCAGCAGCCGCGGUAAUACGUAGGUGGCAAGCGUUGUCCGGAUUUAUUGGGCGUAAAGCGAGCGCAGGCGGUUCCUUAAGUCUGAUGUGAAAGCCCCCGGCUCAACCGGGGAGGGUCAUUGGAAACUGGGGAACUUGAGUGCAGAAGAGGAGAGUGGAAUUCCAUGUGUAGCGGUGAAAUGCGUAGAUAUAUGGAGGAACACCAGUGGCGAAGGCGACUCUCUGGUCUGUAACUGACGCUGAGGCUCGAAAGCGUGGGUAGCAAACAGGAUUAGAUACCCUGGUAGUCCACGCCGUAAACGAUGAGUGCUAAGUGUU
RNAcentral lists this ribosomal RNA (754 nucleotides) under uncultured bacterium. RNAcentral describes it as "bacterial SSU rRNA". It matches the Rfam family "Bacterial small subunit ribosomal RNA", at positions 84 to 824 of the family's 1533-position model. The record is from RNAcentral.